GACGAACGCUGGCGGCGUGCUUAACACAUGCAAGUCGAACGGAAAGGCCCUGCUUUUGUGGGGUGCUCGAGUGGCGAACGCGUGAGUAACACGUGAGUAACCUGCCCUUGACUUUGGGAUAACUUCAGGAAAAUGGGGCUAAUACCGGAUAGGAGCUCCUGCUGCAUGGUGGGGGUUGGAAAGUUUCGGCGGUUGGGGAUGGUCUCGCGGCUUAUCAGCUUGUUUGUGGGGUAGUGGCUUACCAAGGCUUUGACGGAUAGCCGGCCUGAGAGGGUUACCGGCCACAUGGGGACUGAGAGACGGCCCAGACUCCUACGGGAGGCAGCAGUGGGGAAUAUGGCACAAUGGGCGGAAGCCUGAUGCAGCAACGCCGCGUGCGGGAUGACGGCCUUCGGGGUGUAAACCGCUUUCGCCUGUGACGAAGCGUGAGUGACGGUAAUGGGUAAAGAAGCACCGGCUAACUACGUG
This 468-nucleotide ribosomal RNA is filed under the name uncultured bacterium. Its description in RNAcentral is "partial 16S ribosomal RNA". It matches the Rfam family "Bacterial small subunit ribosomal RNA", at positions 28 to 507 of the family's 1533-position model. The record is from RNAcentral.